This is a long non-coding RNA of Capra hircus (goat), 1267 nucleotides long. RefSeq lists it as uncharacterized. The record is from RefSeq and is a predicted model, not a curated record. The transcript is spliced from 3 exons. NCBI's taxonomy places the organism in Eukaryota, Metazoa, Chordata, Mammalia, Artiodactyla, Bovidae.
CAGGGAGGAUCAGCAAGGAGGAGAAAGGAGGAAGGGAGUGUCCAGAGACCAUUUAAGGAACAAGCUGGGGAGACGUUUCAGCAUUUUCCUGGCAAUGAGUGACACUCAGGAGUUUCUGUUCCUAGAUUCUGCACUGCUGAAGCAGGCAGUGGAUAUGAAGAAAAUGAAGAAUUUGAAGAAAAAAGUGGAGUGGAAGGUGAUAGAAAUUAUGGAAAGGGGGGCAUGGAGACGGAGGUUGGGGGCAGAAUGCAGGACAGACGUACAGGAUUAGGGAGCUGACAUUGCUUCCCCUUCCCCUACCUUGACCACUCUGGUCCCACAGGAGGAGAACCAGAAGCAGAAGCUCAUGGAAAAGUCAAAAGAUCCAGAGCAGCCAGAUGUCAAGGACUGAGCCUUGCUGCAGCAGUGCCUGGGACCUGGCUGUGUGCAUCCCACCCAGCCAGGCUCCAAGUACUGCUCGGACGAAUGUGGCAUGAAGCUGGCAGCUGAUUGAGUACACCUGGAGGUUAAGCAACAGGGCGUGGAAUAGGGCAUGAUCUAUGCCAUCUGUAAGUCCAUCCACCCUCCUACUUAUGUAUCCUGGCACAAUUUGUCCACUUACUUGCCUAUACAUCCACCCUUACAUACACCCACCCAUCCACAUUCCACCCACCAACCCACACAAUUACCCUUACAGUCACCCAUCCAACUAGCUACCCAUCCACCCAACCAUCCACCACCCACUCACCCAUUCAACAACAUUCACUCCUCUGCCAUUCAUUAUCUUAAACAUUCACUAUUAAGCCACUCAUCUGUUUCUUCUUUUGAUGUUCCAAAAUACCCAUUCCAUUUCUUGCUGACUCUCCUUCCAGCCACAUCCAUGAGAUCCUGCCCCAGCGCUUUCAGCAGUGGCAGAAGAGUCCCUGCAUUGCUGAGGAGAACGGCAAGAAAAUGCUUGAGUGCAUCCACCAUGAACAGCAGGACACUCAUGCCCCUUGAAGGACAUGGAAUGCUGUUUCCAUGAACUUGAGGCCAUCAUUCUGUGUGACAAGUAGCAGGCUGUGUACCAAGAUAAAGAGAUGCUGGGGCCGUGCUCCCUCCCUGAUUAUUUACUUGGCCUGAUGUGGCCCAGUCCUGGAGUCUGCAGUCUGUAUGAACAACAAACAUGGUGGAAACAACGUCGACCUGCAGAUCUUCUGUGUCUCCUGUGGGAAACCCAUCAAUGUGCAUACUGCCCUGUGCCACAUGGAGUGCUGCUUCGCCAAGGUUAGAGCUUUGACUGGGGGCA